AGUCAGGGAUGAAGAUUGAUGAGUAUGAUUUUACUCUCAUCAACAUGCAAUGCCAUCUCUGUACUGAAAAAUUAUAUAUACUUGCCCCCCAAGCUAGUUAAGUCUUCUACGUUAGUGAUCCAUUGGAGCCUCAAUGGGGUGUUGUUGUGAGGAUGGUGCCUAGGCAUAUCUUUGAUGAUACCAAGAUUGAUAAUGAUGUUGGACCAUACAUACAAAGUUUUCCUCUAGGAUAAAGCUUAUCUAAUAUUGUCAAAAUCUCAGAUACAUUUGUUAGG
Molecule: long non-coding RNA, 275 nt
Filed under: Elaeis guineensis (African oil palm)
Lineage: Eukaryota; Viridiplantae; Streptophyta; Magnoliopsida; Arecales; Arecaceae
Description: long non-coding RNA (EGUI_LNC052144)
Source: RNAcentral